Molecule: long non-coding RNA, 1780 nt
Organism: Scleropages formosus (Asian bonytongue)
Lineage: Eukaryota; Metazoa; Chordata; Actinopteri; Osteoglossiformes; Osteoglossidae
Source: Ensembl
GUGCGACAUGUGUGUGCAUAAAAAUACACCAGGAAUUGCAAGCUUUAAAUCUGAGAAAUUAUGAGCACAUCAUACAGACAUAGGGAGAUUUCUAAUCAUGAAUUUUUACAAUACAAAAUUCCACCCCACAAUUUCAGUAGUGUAGCGUUAGCUUACAAAAGAGAUUUUAAAUCAUAUUUGAUCAUUUUUAUAUCUGGCCGUGAGGUCACCUUCUGAGACUGAAUGCAUUGCGUUAGUUGUUCUGCAUUUAAAACAUACAUCUCUGAUCAUGCUGCUUAACUUAAAACAUCAGCCUCACCGAAAAAUGACAAUUGGUACUGUCACUUCAGCUGCAGUCGCUCACAGCAGUUCACGGGAAUGCAUUAAUAAUUUAACUAUCAUUUGUACAAACUGUCAUUUUUGAGCCUCUUAUCUAAAGUAUUUAUCGCAGAGUCAGGUAUUGUGUCCUUGCAGAAACAUUUUGUACAGCUUUUUUUCUAUUUUAGAAAUAAACAAAUGUGUAAAAGGAAAUGAAAUUAAUAGUAAAGUAACAUGAUUUAGGGGGGCGUGGGGGCACGGCAGGUUUGGCCAGUGUCUGCUGUGCGGUGGGUCUGGAGUUCGAGUCCUAUUUGGGGUGCAUUGCAACGCACUGGUGUCCCGUCCAGGAUGUGUCCCCUCCAGCCUUGCGCCCUGUGUUGUCGGGUGAGGCUCCGGCUCACAGUGACCCCAUUCGGGAUAAGCAGUUGUAGAAGUUGGUUGGUAAAAUGGUUUAGUGAAAAAGUGACAUUAAUUUGGAGUAAUGGUGACUAUUUAUUGAACUGACAUAGACAUUGUGCAACUUGGUCCUGGUUCCUUUUUCUGUGCUCUGAAUUCAGAUGGGAGCAUAUACAUUCAACAUGCUGACAGUGAGGACAGUGAAAGUGACAGUAAGGCUCUUUGAGGUCACUGACGUGGGUGCAGUGUUGCCAACUUGGGCGCUGGCCAUGCUGGAGGGGGUAGUAAGAAUAGUGGAGGAACUGGGAAGGCUAGUGCUUCCAGUGCUGCUACUCCCGGUGCUUGUGCCUUCAGUGUUGGUGUCACUGCUGCUCCCAGUGCUUUUACCUACAGUGGAGGUGUCAGUACUGCUGCUCCCAGUGCUUGUGCCCCCAGUGGUGGUGUCAGUACUGCUGCUCCCAGUGCUUGUGCCCCCAGUGGUGGUGUCAGUACUGCUACUUUCUGUGCUUUUACCUACAGUGGUGGUGUCAGUACUGCUGCUCCCAGUGCUUGUGCCCCCAGUGGUGCUGUCAGUACUGCUACUUCCUGUGCUUUUACCUACAGUGGUGGUGUCAGUACUGCUAUUCCCGGUGCUUGUGCCUCCAGUGUUGGUGUCACUGCUGCUCCCAGUGCUUUUACCUACAGUGGUGGUGUCAGUACUGCUGCUCCCAGUGCUUGUGCCUCCAGUGGUGGUGUCAGUACUGCUACUUUCUGUGCUUUUACCUACAGUGGUGGUGUCAGUACUGCUGCUCCCGGUGCUUGUGCCCCCAGUGGUGGUGUCAGUACUGCUACUUCCUGUGCUUUCACCUACAGUGGAGGUGUCAGUACUGCUGCUCCCAGUGCUUGUGCCUCCAGUGGUGGUGUCAGUACUGCUUUUCUCGGUGCUUGUGCCUCCAGUGUUGGUGUCAGUACUGCUGCUUCCGGUACUUAUGCUUCCAGUGGUGAUGCCAGUGCUUGUGCCGUCCGUGCUGGUACUAACAGUACUGGAGCCAGUUACUAGAUGGAUCAAAGAACAUCUAUGUUUAUACGUUUAUCUAACAAUUUUCUC